GACUGCCAUCCUGGGCCAGGCUGGGGGUGGUGGGAAGGGAUGCAGAACACACCCAAACCUGCAUCUCUGCUGUAAGGAUUUUCGUUUCAGGAAACAGCAGAUGCAGGGGAAACCCUGAAAACCGCAGCGUUAACCUCUCACAAGGGACGUUUUUACAUUUCUGAAGGAGCCCUACAUCCACGCAGGAAGGAGGCUCAAGACUGCGCGGUCUAAGCAGGAGGCAGCCCCUCCCCGGGGUCCUCCCCCGCCCCACGCCAGUGUGUCCUGACUGGUGCUUCGGCAGGUCCUCCAGCCACUUCAGGGACCUCCCCGCCCCUGGUAGCUCCACAGAUGCCUGCUGUACACGCCAGUAACCUGCGUGUUGUUCUCGUUAAUCUGUCUUUAAUUACGGCCGAGGACUAGGGGUGCAGGGAAAGCUGUCUGCGUCCUCUACACGGAGAGAGGAGGCACCUGUUCGGAUCUGACUCUUCUUGGUGGCGCAGGGGGCGGAGAGGAGGCUAGCCUGGACCACCUGCUCAACCCUGGGGCACGACGUGUCUUUCCCCUGGGUCAGGGAGGUGACUUCCGAUGGGAUGAGGUCUGCUGGAAACUUACCUGCUGUUCUUGGAAGACCUGGUGUUCUCACCUGCCAGCGGCGUGAGGACGGGCGAGCCAGAGGACAGUUUCAUGCCUCCGGAAUGGUGGGGAUAGUGGGGUUGGUGGGUCCACCAGACCCACAACGGCCCUGUGAGCUGCCUCAGGGGGGCUGUGGCGCGGUGAGUUCAGCGACCUUCCCAUCUCCACUGCUGGCUCAAGCCCCUGACCUCACCUCAAGCACCGGCUCUGGCUGGCACAGUUGGGAGUGCGUCCUCCGCCUUCCUGGGCCUUCCCAUUGCUGCCAUCGCCUCAUCUUCUGUGUCUCGUUAGGACUCCCUCCCUGGAUGUAGGGCCUACCCAGUAUCACCUACAUCCGAAAGACUAUAUUUCCAUAGAAGGUCCCAUGCCAAGGUCCCCCUGCGGGGGCCUCUGCUGGGGUAUCCAGGGUAUAGGAUCCCAGGAUGGUGGUGCCACGGGCAUGAGGUGUGGGCGCAGCCCAUCCCCACAGGGAAAUAGAGGUUUUUGCUGAGGAGUGAAUAUGAGACUCCAUUCACAUCACAGAACUCUUUCUGGAAGUUAUAGUAUGAAACAGAGUAUGUUUUCUGCCUUUUUAUGCUUGUUUUUAUGUAGCGUCACACACAUGUCAGGUGCAUUUAGUUCUGUAAGCAGGGUAAUCCUCAGGGUUGAACCCAGGAGCAGUAGUAGCUUGUGGACUGGAGAACCGUCAUCCCCGUGCCGUGGGAGGGUUAGCACAAGGACCGCAGUGCCCGGGACAGGCAGGCCUCCUGGGCUGACACCGUACUCAGCACCCAUGGCCCACAGCCUGGCCCGAGCACAGGGCUGCCCCACGGCCAUGGCAG
Molecule: long non-coding RNA, 1436 nt
Filed under: Vulpes vulpes (red fox)
Lineage: Eukaryota; Metazoa; Chordata; Mammalia; Carnivora; Canidae
Description: lncRNA (ENSVVUG00000010571.1)
Source: RNAcentral